RNAcentral lists this ribosomal RNA (1479 nucleotides) under Escherichia coli. Its description in RNAcentral is "partial 23S ribosomal RNA". It matches the Rfam family "Bacterial large subunit ribosomal RNA", at positions 1 to 1526 of the family's 2925-position model. The record is from RNAcentral. Lineage: Bacteria; Pseudomonadati; Pseudomonadota; Gammaproteobacteria; Enterobacterales; Enterobacteriaceae.
GGUUAAGCGACUAAGCGUACACGGUGGAUGCCCUGGCAGUCAGAGGCGAUGAAGGACGUGCUAAUCUGCGAUAAGCGUCGGUAAGGUGAUAUGAACCGUUAUAACCGGCGAUUUCCGAAUGGGGAAACCCAGUGUGAUUCGUCACACUAUCAUUAACUGAAUCCAUAGGUUAAUGAGGCGAACCGGGGGAACUGAAACAUCUAAGUACCCCGAGGAAAAGAAAUCAACCGAGAUUCCCCCAGUAGCGGCGAGCGAACGGGGAGCAGCCCAGAGCCUGAAUCAGUGUGUGUGUUAGUGGAAGUGUCUGGAAAGGCGCGCGAUACAGGGUGACAGCCCCGUACACAAAAAUGCACAUACUGUGAGCUCGAUGAGUAGGGCGGGACACGUGGUAUCCUGUCUGAAUAUGGGGGGACCAUCCUCCAAGGCUAAAUACUCCUGACUGACCGAUAGUGAACCAGUACCGUGAGGGAAAGGCGAAAAGAACCCCGGCGAGGGGAGUGAAAAAGAACCUGAAACCGUGUACGUACAAGCAGUGGGAGCCUCUUUAUGGGGUGACUGCGUACCUUUUGUAUAAUGGGUCAGCGACUUAUAUUCUGUAGCAAGGUUAACCGAAUAGGGGAGCCGAAGGGAAACCGAGUCUUAACUGGGCGUUAAGUUGCAGGGUAUAGACCCGAAACCCGGUGAUCUAGCCAUGGGCAGGUUGAAGGUUGGGUAACACUAACUGGAGGACCGAACCGACUAAUGUUGAAAAAUUAGCGGAUGACUUGUGGCUGGGGGUGAAAGGCCAAUCAAACCGGGAGAUAGCUGGUUCUCCCCGAAAGCUAUUUAGGUAGCGCCUCGUGAAUUCAUCUCCGGGGGUAGAGCACUGUUUCGGCAAGGGGGUCAUCCCGACUUACCAACCCGAUGCAAACUGCGAAUACCGGAGAAUGUUAUCACGGGAGACACACGGCGGGUGCUAACGUCCGUCGUGAAGAGGGAAACAACCCAGACCGCCAGCUAAGGUCCCAAAGUCAUGGUUAAGUGGGAAACGAUGUGGGAAGGCCCAGACAGCCAGGAUGUUGGCUUAGAAGCAGCCAUCAUUUAAAGAAAGCGUAAUAGCUCACUGGUCGAGUCGGCCUGCGCGGAAGAUGUAACGGGGCUAAACCAUGCACCGAAGCUGCGGCAGCGACACUGUGUGUUGUUGGGUAGGGGAGCGUUCUGUAAGCCUGUGAAGGUGUACUGUGAGGUAUGCUGGAGGUAUCAGAAGUGCGAAUGCUGACAUAAGUAACGAUAAAGCGGGUGAAAAGCCCGCUCGCCGGAAGACCAAGGGUUCCUGUCCAACGUUAAUCGGGGCAGGGUGAGUCGACCCCUAAGGCGAGGCCGAAAGGCGUAGUCGAUGGGAAACAGGUUAAUAUUCCUGUACUUGGUGUUACUGCGAAGGGGGGACGGAGAAGGCUAUGUUGGCCGGGCGACGGUUGUCCCGGUUUAAGCGUGUAGGCU